GAGUUUGAUCAUGGCUCAGGAUGAACGCUGGCGGCGUGCCUAAUACAUGCAAGUCGAGCGAACAGACGAGGAGCUUGCUCCUCUGACGUUAGCGGCGGACGGGUGAGUAACACGUGGAUAACCUACCUAUAAGACUGGGAUAACUUCGGGAAACCGGAGCUAAUACCGGAUAAUAUAUUGAACCGCAUGGUUCAAUAGUGAAAGACGGUUUUGCUGUCACUUAUAGAUGGAUCCGCGCCGCAUUAGCUAGUUGGUAAGGUAACGGCUUACCAAGGCAACGAUGCGUAGCCGACCUGAGAGGGUGGUCGGCCACACUGGAACUGAGACACGGUCCAGACUCCUACGGGAGGCAGCAGUAGGGAAUCUUCCGCAAUGGGCGAAAGCCUGACGGAGCAACGCCGCGUGAGUGAUGAAGGUCUUCGGAUCGUAAAACUCUGUUAUUAGGGAAGAACAAUGUGUAAGUAACUAUGCACGUCUUGACGGUACCUAAUCAGAAAGCCACGGCUAACUACGUGCCAGC
RNAcentral lists this ribosomal RNA (520 nucleotides) under uncultured microorganism. Its description in RNAcentral is "bacterial SSU rRNA". It matches the Rfam family "Bacterial small subunit ribosomal RNA", at positions 9 to 512 of the family's 1533-position model. The record is from RNAcentral.